RNAcentral lists this RNase P RNA (348 nucleotides) under Nanobdellota archaeon. RNAcentral's name for it is "RNase P RNA component". It matches the Rfam family "Archaeal RNase P". From Rfam's summary of the family: Ribonuclease P (RNase P) is a ubiquitous endoribonuclease, found in archaea, bacteria and eukarya as well as chloroplasts and mitochondria. Its best characterised activity is the generation of mature 5'-ends of tRNAs by cleaving the 5'-leader elements of precursor-tRNAs. Lineage: Archaea; Nanobdellati; Nanobdellota. The record is from RNAcentral.
GGUAGGUAAUAUACCUAGCUUCCGGAGGAAUCUGAUGAAGCUUUUCCUUUUUUGGUGAAGCUUUUUCUUAAAAAGGUUCUUCUGAGGAAAGUCCGCACACAAUAAAAGGUUACUCUUGCAAAAGAGCUCUGGAAACAGAGGGCAACCACGCAGAAACGACACGGCUUUUUGGCGUAAUGAUGUUCACGAAAUUUCCUGCGAAGGAAACGAGGACUAACUGAACUUGUCAAAAAGAAGCGAUGAAACGGUGAGUCCUAACUUGUGCAAGUCUUUAGACGCAUAGUUUAAUGCUAGGAGAGCUAUUCCUUUAGGAAGCUCUUACAGAAUGCGGCUUACUUGUUACCUACC